Rattus norvegicus (Norway rat) is the source of this 2666-nucleotide non-coding RNA. NCBI's taxonomy places the organism in Eukaryota, Metazoa, Chordata, Mammalia, Rodentia, Muridae. The record is from RefSeq and is a predicted model, not a curated record.
GAUGAUGUCACUGAAAACUGUCAUGGCCUAUGUGCUGAACUCUUUCCUUACAUUGAAAAGAUUCAAGUUUGCACUUUCCAGGACCUUUUCUUCUUGAGAAAAAGAGUAAAAGUCAUGACCUCUCAGGAAAAAAACUGUGCCCUUCCCAACACUUGGCUUUUGGAGUUAAGAAAUGAAUGAUAUAAACCUUUUGAUAAGAAAAGGUCCUUUCCGCGGCUUGUAGCUUCUGGACCCUUUCCGUGAACGGAGGCUCUCCUCGGCUCCAGCGAUGGUGAGGUUUUUGUCCCAGGUUUCAGCAGCAAAUAUCCCACGUGCCCUUGCCAGCAAGAAAACUCGCAGGGACAUACGGAUCCUUGCUACAGCUAAACUUUUUUUGAAUCUUACGGAGAGGCGCUGUGCACCAGCAUGGCACGGCUUAUAUACACCCCAGCAUGGCGCAUCCACACCUGAUUGGUUGCUUACCUACAAUCUCACUAGGCACGCCCCGCAGUGGUCAAAGACCUGGCACGAAGGCAUUCUUGCACAUGUGCACACAGUUAACUUCCUGAAAGGAAGUCGGCUGGCGCAAUGGAGGCCAGUGCCAUCUUGUAAUGGCGAAAGCUAUCCUGGCCUUCCACAUGGGGCUCAGUGGAAGCCAGCGCCAUCUAGUGGUGGCAAUUAUUAUAGCGGUCCUCUACACCUGAGUAAAACUGCUUGAAGAAGAUCUUCACUAUUCGUGUCUUCCUUGUUAGUCGAGGUUGGCCGCAGCAAGUGGUGGUCUGUACAGGGACCUCCUGAAAUCAGAACUUCUUGCAGUCAGGGCAGCGCUGGAAAGUUCCCAAGGAAUGUGGGACCAUAAGGACUGUGGGAAAUAAGUGGCUAUAAAUUCUCAGGGUAGUUAACAAGAAAGUUCUCGGUAGCAGCAAACCGAAAUUAGGAAGAUGCUUGGAGAAUUAAGCCAGCAUAGAAAGUUUUUGUCAUGGGGAUCUCACAGUCUCAUGCAAUUUUUCUGGCUCUUCAAGAGCUAUUUGAGCAUAAGAAACUAAAAAUAAAAAGGAGUGCCAUAGGGAGAUUUUUGAAUGAAUGUGAAGUCAUUGCCCCUGGUUCAUAGUCUCUGGUAAUCUUACUGUGGCAAGUUGGGAAAAAGUAGGGAAAGACCUUGAUUUUGCCUGGGAACAGGGGACUCUCAGACCUGGGAUCCAUCCACUGUGGUGCUUAGCAAGUAGUUGCCUUGACGAUCAAAAAGGUUGUCAGACAACUAUAGAGAAGGGGCAAGGUGCCCUAGAAAUGCUUCAAAUGAAGAGGUCAGAAAAGCAGGGAAGCACAAAGGAGACAGACUCGUUAAAGACAGAUACAGAGGAAGAAACAGACAAAACAGAUUCAGAAGAAGAGUUACAAGAGUUGACAGAUCAAAUGUGGAAACAGUCUCUAAGGAAUAGAGAGAAGAAGAAAAGAAAAAAGCCUAAAAUGGCGGAGUAACUUCCUGGGCAGUUCUCCUCCGCUUCUCCUCCCUAAAAUGUUGUAGAAGGAGGAAGUAGAGUUUUGGGUAGUACAUUCUGCCCAGAAGUCUGGAAGCCAGUCCACACAGAACUGCAUCUAUCCUAUCCUGUUUAUGCCGAUGCUAAUCAACAAAGGUAUCAUGAGCCUUUAGACUUUAAGGUGAUCAAGACCCUGAUGGAAUCAGUCGGGACAUAUGGCAUUAUGGCCUCAUUUACCAUAGCUCAGGUUGAGGUCUUACACAGAUUUUGCAUGACUUCUAGUCAUUAGACUAACCUUGCUUGGGCCUGUCUUUGUCUGGGACAGUAUUUGGACUGGAGAGCUUUUCUUAUUGAGUUUGUCAAAGAACAGGCUGCCGCUAACUUAGAAGUGGGGGGUGGCCAAGCUGCCUGGGAUAGAUAUAUGCUGCUGGGUUAGAAAUGCUUUGCCAAUGCUCAGACAGUGUAUCCAGUACAGGUUUACCAGCAGAUUAAUGAAGUUGAAACCAAGGCAUGGAAAUCCUUAAAUAAUAAGGGAGAAGUGAAUGGAAACCUCAUCAAGAUCCUUCAAGGACAUAUGGAGCCAUUCUCUGACUUUGUAGCCUAAUUAGUGGUAGCAGCAGGGAGAGUCUUUGGCGACCCCAAUAUGAUUAUGCCCUUAAUUAAACACUUGGCCUAUGAGCUUUGCACAAAGGAAUGUCGAGCUGCUAUCAUUCCUUACAAGAAUAAGGGACUUGGAGCUUGGAUGAACGUCUGUAGAGAAAUAGGGGGACCUUUGAUUAAUGUUGGACUUGCGGCUGCUGUUACGCAGAUGAAUCAGAGAAAAGGAGGAAGCUCAGGAGCAUAUGUUAAGUGUGAUCAACAGGGGCACCUAAAAAGGCAAUUACAGAAAGGAGAAGUCUAUUCAGUACAGUAAGUGGCCAAUGCCCAAGGCAACAAGGGCUGUGUCCCAAUUGCAAAAAUGCGAACUAUUGGGCUCUUGAGUGCCACUCGGUAAAAGAAAUCAAUGUGCAGCCUCUUAGCUUGGGUUUUGGUGGAGCAUGUCCAAAAAAUGGACAGUGGUGCCCAUUACCCCAGGUCCCACAAAUAUAUGGGCCAGUCGAGAAUCAGGAUGUAGAAUAGAGUCACAAGAGAUGGCCGUCCCUUCGAAAUCUGAGGGGCCAAGGAGAGCCACUAAGGGCUCCAUAGGACUGGACAUCUGCUCCACCACCA